ACAGUUUUUUUGCUGGAGAGUAAAGGCAUGUAGACUGUGGUUCUUAAUAUGUAAAGCGGUGGACAGUGGAGACCGCCCACACCACUCAGCUUUACUGCUUGGACAAAAAACAGAGAUAAAAGGCUGUAAAG
This is a long non-coding RNA of Etheostoma spectabile (orangethroat darter), 131 nucleotides long. RefSeq lists it as uncharacterized. The transcript is spliced from 3 exons. NCBI's taxonomy places the organism in Eukaryota, Metazoa, Chordata, Actinopteri, Perciformes, Percidae. The record is from RefSeq and is a predicted model, not a curated record.